GUGUUGGCGAAAAUGUGGUGAAGUGCAGACGCGUCCCUUCCGCUCGUUGGCGCGUUGUCGUUUGCGUAUUGUUUGUUUUGCUUAGUCGUCAAGCUGAAUAACCAAAGAGAUACAGAAACAGACAACAGACAUUAAACAAAUAAAUAUUGAACAGUGAUAAAGCGUUCCGCAACUGCGCCAAGUGCUGCCAAACCAAAGAACUGCAGAAAUAGUUGCGCCAGAAACAACACACAGAUACACACACACACACCAGCACACACACAGUCAAAAUGCUGAAAACAAAAUCAAGCGACGACAAGCUGGACACGCUGCUCUCGCGAUCUGCGGUGCCCAUCAUCGAUCUGGCUCAUUGCGGCAUUGAGGAGGUGCCCGUCAAGUCGGUGGUGAAUCGUGUCGGACAUCAGCUCCAGAAGGCGUUAUCCGAGAAGGGCAUGGCGCUGCUGGUCAAUCAUGGCAUAUCUGACGAAAAGCUGAAAACCGCCUGGGACCAUUUGGAUGACUUUGUGGAUCUGGCGACGGAUGUCAAGCAGCAUUAUAUACGCAGCGAUGGCGACAAUCAUGGCUAUGUGAGUCCGGGCAUUGAGCGCUUCGAUGGCAAGACACCGGAGCUGCGACAUGCGUUCAACAUAUGCACACUGAACGCGCAAAAUCUGCCGGAGGAGCCGCUGCCGGGCUUUGCGGAUCACAUAAGCACGUUGGCCAACGACUUCAAGGCGCUGGCCAGCUUUAUAUUGCAGGCGCUGGCUGUCUCGCUGGACAUUCCGCACACGUUCUUUCUCGAAAAGCACUCACACAUGCUGUCCGGCGAUCACGACAACAUGACCACCCUGCGCAUGCUCUACUAUCCGCCCGUGGUGGACGAUGAGCCCGGCCAUGGUCAGAACGAUGUGGUCAAGGGCCGUUGCCAAUAUAGCUACCAGCGCUGCUUAUCGGAUCAGCCGGACUUUCGGCCCGAAAACAAUCCCCGCGAUGAGCUCAACGAGCUGGACGGCGUCCAGAGCAAUGGCAAGGAUGGUGAGCUCUCCGAGCACAAGCUGGCCAAUGGGGCCGUCAUACGCUGUGGCGCACAUGUCGACUACGGCACAUUUACGCUGCUGGCGCAGGAUUCGGAGGGUGGCCUGGAGGUGAAGCUGCCGGGCAGCGAAAAGUGGCAUCGUGUGGGCCAUUUGCCGGGUGCCAUAUUAGUCAACUGUGGCGAGAUCUUGUCCAUUUGGACAAGGGAGCGGUAUCCCGCACUGCAACAUCGUGUGGUUAUACCCGAACAGGAGCACAUACGGUCCCGUGGCCGACACUCAAUUGCAUUCUUCUGCCAUCCAGACAAUAUUACAAUGAUAUCUCCCAACGAUCUGCCUCAAACCGAUGCCGAACAGAAUUCCGCGUGUCUCAAGCAGCGCAAGAAGUCCUUCAAGGCGGCGAAAGAGCGCGUUUACAAUGCGUAUCAGUUAAUACAGAAAAAGUUUAAAGAUACGUAUACCAAUAACAAUCACUCUCAAUGACGUCCUCCCCCCCUUCACAACCCCUGUUCAUCCGGUCAUACGGCCAUGCAGCCAUCCGUCAUCCAGACUGAGGAGAGAGAGAGAGAGAGAGAGAGUUUCCGUCGUAUUUGAGAAAAGUCAACAACACGCAUGUUGUUUGUAACUUUUUAUUUUUAAUAUUAUUAUAAUAUACGAUUGUAAUUGCUUCAUUUCUUUAGUUUGUAUCAUAUGUAUUUGAUAUACAUACUGAAUAUUUAUAUACAAAUACAAUACAUACAAUUCAUACAACAUACAAAUAUAAUACCUAUAUGUACUUAUACAUAUAUGUUUUGCACAAUUCGAGUAUUAAUAUUAGUUAUACACUGACAGAACGCACACAUAUUAACAUUUAAGUUAGAUACAAGAUACAAGAUGCAACUAUUUCCUUUCGCAAUUCCAAAAUUGACCGAGACUAAAUCGGAUAUCAGAGACCAUAUGGACCAGAUAUCUUUAAUCUGGCUGCGUUCAACUUUUGGACAUUCACCGAGAGUAUUUGGCGCUGCUUGAUUGAUUGAUUGAUUGACACUGAGACACGAAUGCCGCAUACUCUCCCAUAUAUAUUAGUUGUAUAUACAAACUACAUACACUUACUUAUUAGUUAGAGACUAACAUAAUCGUAGAAAGACAAAUAAAACAAAUGGAAGAAAA
Non-coding RNA from Drosophila virilis, 2162 nucleotides. NCBI's taxonomy places the organism in Eukaryota, Metazoa, Arthropoda, Insecta, Diptera, Drosophilidae. The record is from RefSeq and is a predicted model, not a curated record.